Molecule: ribosomal RNA, 516 nt
Filed under: uncultured Acidovorax sp.
Lineage: Bacteria; Pseudomonadati; Pseudomonadota; Betaproteobacteria; Burkholderiales; Comamonadaceae
Also listed under: 1 other name
Description: bacterial SSU rRNA
Rfam family: Bacterial small subunit ribosomal RNA
Source: RNAcentral
GAGUUUGAUCAUGGCUCAGAUUGAACGCUGGCGGCAUGCCUUACACAUGCAAGUCGAACGGUAACAGGUCUUCGGAUGCUGACGAGUGGCGAACGGGUGAGUAAUGCAUCGGAACGUGCCCAGUAGUGGGGGAUAGCCCGGCGAAAGCCGGAUUAAUACCGCAUACGACCUGAGGGUGAAAGGGGGGGAUCGCAAGACCUCUCGCUAUUGGAGCGGCCGAUGUCAGAUUAGCUAGUUGGUGGGGUAAAGGCCUACCAAGGCAACGAUCUGUAGUUGGUCUGAGAGGACGACCAGCCACACUGGGACUGAGACACGGCCCAGACUCCUACGGGAGGCAGCAGUGGGGAAUUUUGGACAAUGGGCGCAAGCCUGAUCCAGCAAUGCCGCGUGCAGGAAGAAGGCCUUCGGGUUGUAAACUGCUUUUGUCAGGGAAGAAAUCUUCUGGGUUAAUACCUCGGGAGGAUGACGGUACCUGAAGAAUAAGCACCGGCUAACUACGUGCCAGCAGCCGCGGUA